RNAcentral lists this transfer RNA (73 nucleotides) under Marmota monax (woodchuck). RNAcentral describes it as "tRNA.Gly". The stretch from base 9 to 65 matches the Rfam family "tRNA", at positions 9 to 63 of the family's 71-position model. Rfam says of the family: Transfer RNA (tRNA) molecules are approximately 80 nucleotides in length. Their secondary structure includes four short double-helical elements and three loops (D, anti-codon, and T loops). Lineage: Eukaryota; Metazoa; Chordata; Mammalia; Rodentia; Sciuridae. The record is from RNAcentral.
AGGGAUACAGCUCAGUUGGUAGAGUGUUUGCCUCCCGUACAAAAGGCCUUGGGUUCAAUCCCCAGCACCACAA